Molecule: transfer RNA, 81 nt
Filed under: Paragonimus westermani
Lineage: Eukaryota; Metazoa; Platyhelminthes; Trematoda; Plagiorchiida; Troglotrematidae
Description: tRNA-Asn
Rfam family: tRNA
About the family: Transfer RNA (tRNA) molecules are approximately 80 nucleotides in length.
Source: RNAcentral
GGCCUCGUAACUCAGCUGGUAGAGCGCUUGCCACGUUGAGGCAUGCCGUGUCUGUCGCUGGUUCUAAUCCAGCCGAAGCCC